This 479-nucleotide ribosomal RNA is filed under the name Allium stellatum. RNAcentral describes it as "partial external transcribed spacer". The record is from RNAcentral. Lineage: Eukaryota; Viridiplantae; Streptophyta; Magnoliopsida; Asparagales; Amaryllidaceae.
UUUUGCAAUCGUCCUAAAAAAAGAGACGCGCCACGAAUCAUGUAGGCCUUUUUUUAGAUGGUGUUGGCAAAACCAAACUAUAAAUUAAAAGCACAAAGGGAUGGCUUCCCAAGAAUCUUUAACAUGCACAACACCCGUAAAACUAUUGGAGCAGUCAACGAUAAAAAUGAUAGGCAACACAACGAAGCGAUCAAAAUAACCAAGGUUUCCAACUUUGUACCCCCACAAACACUUGGGAAAGAGGAGGGGCGGUACAAACAACAUCAUUGAACAUUAUAUUUCAAACCGGGUCCGUUUUCCAUGAUGGCAACAUGAAACCUAGUGAAAUUCAACACAUAGGUAUAAAAGAGUUAUGCUACUCGUCAGUUGGCCGCAACAAAGCGGGGAGCCUGACAUAGCACGCACAUAAAUAACCACUCAUAUGCCGUCACGGUCACAGCCCAGCAAAGCCCUUCGCCUUUCCCCCAAACGAAGAAAAA